RNAcentral lists this transfer RNA (63 nucleotides) under Harmostica fulvicornis. Its description in RNAcentral is "tRNA-Phe". The record is from RNAcentral. Lineage: Eukaryota; Metazoa; Arthropoda; Insecta; Hemiptera; Rhyparochromidae.
GUUAAGAUAUCUUAAAUUUAAAGUAUAAUAUUGAAGAUAUUAUUAUGGGCUACCCUCUUAACU